Molecule: long non-coding RNA, 872 nt
Organism: Capsicum annuum
Lineage: Eukaryota; Viridiplantae; Streptophyta; Magnoliopsida; Solanales; Solanaceae
Exons: 3
Source: RefSeq, a predicted model, not a curated record
AAUUCUAUAUGGUGGGAUAGAUAUUGGCUGAGUAUCUGGAAGAAAUUCUAUUCUGAAGUCAAUUUCCCUUUCGGGAGGAGCUCUGGGGAGAUCUUUGGCAAACACAUCUAGGAAUUCACAUGCUACUGAAACCGAUUCAAGGUAAGAAACAAGCUGACCCCUAAGUGUUAAAGUACUACCCCUCCACUCAAGGACGGGUUCAUUCAAAAAGUAGUUGAAGGGGAAAAAGUGGCUCAGUAAGUUUGACAAUGUGUUGUAGAAGCUUUUAUAACAUAUUUGACUUUGAUACUCUCGAUCUUACAUCGACUACUCUCUUAGUGGAUGGCAUGGAGAGAUUAUAGGGAGAUAUUCCACAAAUAUCGUGCAAUUUAGAAUAUAUAUUUCCUUCUGGGUUCUUUGACUCAAUGGAACAUCUGCCUGUGCACCUUCCAUAUGAAGCAAAGAUUGCUUGACCCGUACUAUAUCAAUGGAUGUAUCCUUUUAAAAGGUAAAUGUAAAACUGUAUGUUGAACUUGUGACAAGUUUGUUAUAUGUAACUUUUCAAAUAUAAAAAUUUAUACUUAUCUAUUUAGGUGUCUUGGAACACUUAAAAAUAAUGAUUAGGAAUAAAUCAAGAGUUGAGGAUUCGAUAUGUGAAGCAUUCUUGAUGACAGAGUCAACACUAUUGUUUUCUAAUUAUUUUAAACCACAUGUCAUGACACACAAUCAUAAUAUGGAUCGUAAUGAUGACUGGGGUAUUAUGGAAGAUCUUGAAGGAAAUUUAUCAAUAUUCAGUAUCCAGGUCGAUUAUGUGGAGAAUCAAAAAAGAGGAAUUUAACCUUGAAGAAAUCAAGGUUGCACAAACUUACAUUUUAUUAAAUUGUAAAGAGGUU